This 762-nucleotide ribosomal RNA is filed under the name Candida albicans. RNAcentral's name for it is "LSU rRNA". It matches the Rfam family "Eukaryotic large subunit ribosomal RNA", at positions 127 to 906 of the family's 3401-position model. The record is from RNAcentral. Lineage: Eukaryota; Fungi; Ascomycota; Pichiomycetes; Serinales; Debaryomycetaceae.
GUCUUUGGCGUCCGAGUUGUAAUUUGAAGAAGGUAUCUUUGGGCCCGGCUCUUGUCUAUGUUCCUUGGAACAGGACGUCACAGAGGGUGAGAAUCCCGUGCGAUGAGAUGACCCGGGUCUGUGUAAAGUUCCUUCGACGAGUCGAGUUGUUUGGGAAUGCAGCUCUAAGUGGGUGGUAAAUUCCAUCUAAAGCUAAAUAUUGGCGAGAGACCGAUAGCGAACAAGUACAGUGAUGGAAAGAUGAAAAGAACUUUGAAAAGAGAGUGAAAAAGUACGUGAAAUUGUUGAAAGGGAAGGGCUUGAGAUCAGACUUGGUAUUUUGCAUGUUGCUCUCUCGGGGGCGGCCGCUGCGGUUUACCGGGCCAGCAUCGGUUUGGAGCGGCAGGAUAAUGGCGGAGGAAUGUGGCACGGCUUCUGCUGUGUGUUAUAGCCUCUGACGAUACUGCCAGCCUAGACCGAGGACUGCGGUUUUUUACCUAGGAUGUUGGCAUAAUGAUCUUAAGUCGCCCGUCUUGAAACACGGACCAAGGAGUCUAACGUCUAUGCGAGUGUUUGGGUGUAAAACCCGUACGCGUAAUGAAAGUGAACGAAGGUGGGGGCCUAUUAGGGUGCACCAUCGACCGAUCCUGAUGUGUUCGGAUGGAUUUGAGUAAGAGCAUAGCUGUUGGGACCCGAAAGAUGGUGAACUAUGCCUGAAUAGGGUGAAGCCAGAGGAAACUCUGGUGGAGGCUCGUAGCGGUUCUGACGUGCAAAUCGAUCGUC